Micropterus dolomieu (smallmouth bass) is the source of this 450-nucleotide long non-coding RNA. RefSeq lists it as uncharacterized. The transcript has 3 exons. NCBI's taxonomy places the organism in Eukaryota, Metazoa, Chordata, Actinopteri, Centrarchiformes, Centrarchidae. The record is from RefSeq and is a predicted model, not a curated record.
CUCUGAGGCAGUGUGACACAGGCAGAGAGAAGGAAAAGAAAGGGGAGGUAGUCAGUGCAGACAAAAGCUCUCCCUCUGUGGCUAUUACUGCAGGAUUCAGGAACAGGCAGGCGGAAGAGAAGGAGGAAGGACAGGAACAGCUGUAGACGAAGGGACAGACAGAACCAGCACACUGGCCACUGGGUGACAUGAGGGAGUGGGAGGAGAACCCAGCACAUGGCUCAAGGAAAAAAACAAAUAAAUAAAUAAAUGAACUAAAAAAAAUAAAUGUGCCCUGUUAACACUGAACAAGACACAGAGAGCCAUCUUGUUAGCAGUAGCAGGCCUCUAAAUCUCCCUAAUGGUCCUCUGUCUGAUCUUGUUCUCCUCAGAAUGUCAAGUGUGAACAACGGGCGACCCCAACAACAAAUAUUGUUGAUUCCUCUACCUGCAUGAAUGCAGAUGUUUAUU